CACCAUUACUUAGCUACGAAGCUCCUCCCUUUUCCUCCCUCUAUAUAUACAUUCGAUCCAUCAACUUCAUCAUCCACAUUGGUGCAACUUCCUCCAGCGAUUUGAGAAAGAGAGAGAGGGAGAAAGAGAAAGAGAGAGAAAGAGAUCAUGCCGCCUCCGCCGUGGGGACCACCGCCGGGCCCACACGGGCCUCCGGGGCCGUUCGGGUUCCUGUGCAGCGGGUUAUGUCGCCUCGUCUCCGCCUGGUGAGUUGGUCGACAUCUUCUGUUCAUAUUUCGAGUAGUAAAUUAAGGCGGCAUUGCAUUUAUUUCGAUUCACGACUAAUGUUGAAAGCAAAGGUGAGAAAUGAAUAGGAAAUUCAAUUCAAUAUAAAUGAAUAGUUAUUAUCUCGAGUAUGUAAAAAUUAAUUUGUGGGAAUUUCCUGUCAUAUAUUUAUGGAAUGAUAUUUCUUGCUAUCUAUUUCUAGAAGCAAGUAACCGUAAUUUCACAAUUGAUUUUGACUUGGAUUGUGAUUUUAUUUCGUUCUUCUGUUGGCAGUGCGUACCUGCUGUGUUGCUGCUGCCUCUUCGAGAGCUG
RNAcentral lists this long non-coding RNA (576 nucleotides) under Eucalyptus grandis. RNAcentral's name for it is "long non-coding RNA (EGRA_LNC007363)". Lineage: Eukaryota; Viridiplantae; Streptophyta; Magnoliopsida; Myrtales; Myrtaceae. The record is from RNAcentral.